GGCGUGAGUAUCUACAAUCUGCACUGGAUGGUUGCAGUGGUCCUUUCCUUCCUUUCUAAGCCCCAGAAGAGGCGUCUUCUGUGGCCCUGCAUCUCGUAGGAGGACCUGAGAACGUCGCAGAGCCCAGGCAUGCGCACCACCGGCCAUUACGCUUUCCUAACUGGGGGAGCCUCUCAGAUGAGGCAGCAGCGCAGCUUCUCAUAAGAUGUCACCUGUGGCCACCUCCCCAAAGGAUUAUGAAGAUGGCUGAAUGAGGUGACAUAUGACAGUAAUCAGUCCCACCCGUACCUGGCCCACCACACGUGAUGGAAGGACAUGUGACCCUGUAGACUCCAGAGAUUCCAGGACCGCUCACAUGAUGUCACAGACAGGUUGACCAUUCAGGGUGUGAGGACAAGGACACUGGUUUUCUUCUUGGGGCUAAGCUGGCAGGUAUUGUUGGGGCUCUGGGAGAUUCCCAGGGCCUCUGUAGGCGUGUCUUGGUUGUUUCACAAAGACGGGAUGUUGAAGUUAGCAGCAAAUGGUCUCUUCAGGGGAGAUGCUUUGGACUGUCCCUUGGCAGGGGCAGCAACAGUUGGAAGAGCCCUCUGGAAACUCCCCACCUUUACUUUGUCCCUGGCCAGUCCUGGUCUUCGCUCAGAACCUAGAAGUCACUUCAUCGGUGUUGUCUGAACAAGGCCAGACCCAUGUUUCUCACCCUCUGGAGGCUUCUGGGGUUGUUCAGGCAGGACGAGUUGGGUUCUGGGAAUGAGCGUACACAUUGCAGCAUCCAUGGCAUUGUAUUGUAAUUAUCUAUGGGUUCCAGACAAAGGCCUGGAGGGCAGAGGCGGUUCUUCGCCCCUUUCUCUAACUUCUGCACUACAGGAAUUCUGCAUACAUGGUUGAACAAGGAGCACCUCUGAACUUGUCCGGUGCUGGCAGUGAUGAGGGAGGUCCCAAGGAAUGAGGGGCUGGCUGAGUAUCAGGGGCCACUACAUGUCAGGCUCCAGAGAUUCGGUCUGCUUGGCAAGAACUCCAUUCCCCGUUUCCCAGAGAUUGUUCUCGUAAUACACUGGCGAUGCGCCCAAUCCGGGCUCUGACUAGUUCCUAAAACAAGUUAAAUCUUUCCCUUUGGGACAAUUCCAUCAGCAGGGGUAGAUGAGCCUGCUUCUCUGAUGACCUUGGCGUUCGUAGCCCUGACUUGGGCCCUUUUCCAUUUUGGUUCCUCAAGACCUCAGCGGCAGCCCUGUUAUGCUUGGCUGGGUUUCCGGCUGGUGAGGAGGUAAGCGCCGUCUUCCCAGAUCCUGGGAUGGACCAGAGCUGCGUCCACGCCCCCCACCCACAGCUGCCGGUGCCUGGCUGUGAUGGAAACUGGGCUGCUCAUCCAACAGAUCUCAGUGGAGAUUGGAAAGUGCUCGGAGUAGCGAGUUGUGUCAUCGACGGGAUGUGGAGAGAAGCCAGGCUGCAGAUGAGAACUGCGGUCUUUCCGUCGCCCUUGCUUCCCACCCUGACGGAAGGGCAAGGCCAGCUGCAGAGCCUGGACCUAGUGCUCCCAGACGAGCAUUUCUGAAAUGGGGACCAGGAUGACCAGAGCACAGGAAGUAGACUAUCUGAAGAAUCCACCGUUCCAGGCAGUGUCCGGCUACAAGGCAGAAUAAUUUAACCCUUUAAUUCUGACUUUACACACCUGGACAGUGAGCACGGCUUUCUGAGUCAUCUCCAAAGCCCUUACCCUGCAUGUGAUCUAAGGAGAUCUAGAGGGGCAAUGCAUUAGUCAGUGUUCUCCAGAGGAACAGAACUUUGACAAUGAAUAUAUGUUCAUGUAUAUGACUAUUUAUGGUGAACACAUAUAUGCACAUAUACAUGAAUAUAUAUUCAUACUAUGUGUUAUUUAUUUAUUUGUACACACGCACACCCAGACAGAAGAUUUAUUAGAAUGGUGUACAGACUGUGUAUGAUCCAGUAAUGGUUAUCUACCAACCAAAGGCCCAGGAAUCCGGUAGUCAGUUGUUUAGUCUAUGGGGCCGAAUGUCACAGCUGGUCUUCAGUAUAUACUGGGAAUUCCAGAGAAGUAGGUUCUAAUGCCAGUGAAGGAAUGGACUUGCUAGGGGAAGUGAGAGGAAGAAGGCAAAGUCAGAGCAAGCUUCCUUCUUUUAUGUCCUUUGUUUAGGCUACCAGCAGAAGAUGCGGUCCAGGUUAAAGACGGGUCUUCCCCCUUCAAACUAUUUUAUUUAAAAAAAAAAAAAAAAAGCCUCACAGGUGUGCCCAGCUAUUUGGAUUUUAGUUAAUUCCAGAUGUAGUCAAGUUGACAACCAAGACUUAGCCAUCCCAGGUAAUGGAAAAGACAAAUACAUGUUCACUCACCUUUCCCCUCCAGGUUCUAAAUUAAAGAAGAAUGUUUUAUUGAUUUUAGGUGUGGGGCUAAUGGAGUAUAUAAGAAACCUCCGGAAUCCUUUCCCGUUGGACAUUUGAGCGAAUGAGCAAAGACAUUUCUGUGGACGGUGUGUGCUGAGGAGGCACGCAGAUGACUAGCCUCCUCACUGAAAACGGAAGCUCCCGUCUUGUUGGAAGCAGAGUGGAGGGGAUGGAAAGAGCACUUGGCCCGGACUCAGCUCCAGCCUGGUCAGCUCUGAACUUGAGGUCAUCAAGUCAUUUGAGUUUAUUUUAUUUCUAAGAUUCACUCAGCAGAGGCCAAUAUGACUUUAAAAUAGGCACUGUAAGCUAUUCUGUAUGCUUACAAAUAAUAACUCACUUUAAAAAAAUAUACUUUAUCCUA
Arvicola amphibius (Eurasian water vole) is the source of this 2755-nucleotide long non-coding RNA. RefSeq lists it as uncharacterized. Lineage: Eukaryota; Metazoa; Chordata; Mammalia; Rodentia; Cricetidae. The record is from RefSeq and is a predicted model, not a curated record. The transcript is spliced from 3 exons.